AAUGGAAACUGAUAGAAAAUGUCCACAAGGUAAAAAAUGUGAAACAUUCAGCAAUAGUAAACACUUCACAAUAUAUAUCUACUUAGCACAUUACGUAAGGAGAUGCAUACUGCGGAGAGUUGAAUAUAGCUGGAUGUUUCACACUUCUUAAUGUCUGUCACAGUUAUGUGUAUACGCAAAUAGGAAACACAGUUUCCGGGUUAAAGUAACAG
Molecule: non-coding RNA, 212 nt
Organism: Pelobates cultripes (western spadefoot toad)
Lineage: Eukaryota; Metazoa; Chordata; Amphibia; Anura; Pelobatidae
Source: the annotation of a GenBank genome assembly